GACGAACGCUGGCGGCGUGCCUAAUACAUGCAAGUAGAACGCUGAAGGAGGAGCUUGCGUCUCUGGAUGAGUUGCGAACGGGUGAGUAACGCGUAGGUAACCUGCCUGGUAGCGGGGGAUAACUAUUGGAAACGAUAGCUAAUACCGCAUAAGAGUAGAUGUUGCAUGACAUUUGCUUAAAAGGUGCAAUUGCAUCACUACCAGAUGGACCUGCGUUGUAUUAGCUAGUUGGUGAGGUAACGGCUCACCAAGGCGACGAUACAUAGCCGACCUGAGAGGGUGAUCGGCCACACUGGGACUGAGACACGGCCCAGACUCCUACGGGAGGCAGCAGUAGGGAAUCUUCGGCAAUGGACGGAAGUCUGACCGAGCAACGCCGCGUGAGUGAAGAAGGUUUUCGGAUCGUAAAGCUCUGUUGUAAGAGAAGAACGAGUGUGAGAGUGGAAAGUUCACACUGUGACGGUAGCUUACCAGAAAGGGACGGCUAACUACGUG
RNAcentral lists this ribosomal RNA (495 nucleotides) under uncultured bacterium. RNAcentral's name for it is "partial 16S ribosomal RNA". It matches the Rfam family "Bacterial small subunit ribosomal RNA", at positions 28 to 507 of the family's 1533-position model. The record is from RNAcentral.